RNAcentral lists this ribosomal RNA (474 nucleotides) under uncultured bacterium. Its description in RNAcentral is "bacterial SSU rRNA". It matches the Rfam family "Bacterial small subunit ribosomal RNA", at positions 355 to 825 of the family's 1533-position model. The record is from RNAcentral.
UGGGGAAUAUUGCGCAAUGGGCGAAAGCCUGACGCAGCAACGCCGCGUGAGUGAUGAAGGCCUUCGGGUCGUAAAGCUCUGUCGGAGGGAACGAAUGCUCCUGAAGUUAACAGCCUCAGGAGGUGACGGUACCCUCAAAGGAAGCACCGGCUAACUCUGUGCCAGCAGCCGCGGUAAUACAGAGGGUGCAAACGUUGUUCGGAAUUACUGGGCAUAAAGCGCGCGUAGGCGGCGACGUAAGUGUAGGGUGAAAUCCCACGGCUCACCCGUGUGAAUUGCCCCGCAUACUGCGUUGCUUGAGUGUGGUAGGGGAGAGCGGAACUCCUGGCGGAGCGGUGAAAUGCGUAGAUAUCAGGAGGAACACCGGUGGCGUAGGCGGCUCUCUGGUCCAUAACUGACGCUGAAGUGCGAAAGCUAGGGUAGCGAACGGGAUUAGAUACCCCGGUAGUCCCUGAGCGGGCUGGCAAGGCGCAU